RNAcentral lists this long non-coding RNA (221 nucleotides) under Mytilus galloprovincialis (Mediterranean mussel). The record is from RNAcentral. Lineage: Eukaryota; Metazoa; Mollusca; Bivalvia; Mytilida; Mytilidae.
UGUGUACUUGGUUUGGGUUACAAAUUAUAAAUAACUUCAAGUCUUAAUCAAUUUACAAGUAUCUAUCUAUUUAUAUCAGUCUACCUUCAAGAUUUUGGAGGAAAAUGAGAAUUUAAUUGUCCCAAGAUACCAAUCUUUGACCAAGAAGCGUCGGUAUGAAAGAUAAGUGCGUCAGAAAGUUAAUUAGUGUUUCAGAAGGAUUAGAUUUAGUAUGUCAGGGG